UUUCAGAUGAUGGAUUUAAGGGUGCGUAGGCGGCUUAUUAGUCAGGGGUGAAAGACGGCGGCUCAACCAUCGCACUGCCCUUGAUACUGAUGAGCUUGAAUACACUAGAGGUAGGCGGAAUGUGACAAGUAGCGGUGAAAUGCAUAGAUAUGUCACAGAACACCGAUUGCGAAGGCAGCUUACUAUGGUGUGAUUGACGCUGAGGCACGAAAGCGUGGGGAUCAAACAGGAUUAGAUACCCUGGUAGUCCACGCCCUAAACGAUGAAUACUCGCUGUUAGCGAUAUACAGUUAGCGGCUAAGCGAAAGCGUUAAGUAUUCCACCUGGGGAGUACGCCCGCAAGGGUGAAACUCAAAGGAAUUGACGGGGGCCCGCACAAGCGGAGGAGCAUGUGGUUUAAUUCGAUGAUACGCGAGGAACCUUACCCGGGCUUGAAAGUUAGUGAAUAAUCAAGAGAUUGAUUACUGAGCAAUCACACGAAACUAGGUGCUGCAUGGCUGUCUUCAGCUCGUGCCGUGAGGUGUUGGGUUAAGUCCCGCAACGAGCGCAACCCCUAUGUUUAGUUGCCAGCACGUUAAGGUGGGGACUCUAAACAGACUGCCUGUGCAAACAGAGAGGAAGGAGGGGGACGACAUCAAGUCAUCAUGGCCCUUACGUCCGGGGCUACACACGUGCUACAAUGGAUGGUACAGAGGGCAGCAAGCUGGCAACGCAAGCAAAUCUCAAAAAAGCCAUUCACAGUUCGAGAUAGAGGUCUGCAACUCAACCUCUUGAACUUGGAUUCGCUAGUAAUCGCGUAUCAGCCAAUGACGCGGUGAAUACGGUUCCCGGGCCGUGCACACACUCUCCCCUUAAGCCAUGGAAGUUGGGGGUACCUAAAAUUAUGU
RNAcentral lists this ribosomal RNA (887 nucleotides) under uncultured bacterium. RNAcentral describes it as "bacterial SSU rRNA". It matches the Rfam family "Bacterial small subunit ribosomal RNA", at positions 543 to 1432 of the family's 1533-position model. The record is from RNAcentral.